RNAcentral lists this ribosomal RNA (480 nucleotides) under uncultured bacterium. RNAcentral's name for it is "partial 16S ribosomal RNA". It matches the Rfam family "Bacterial small subunit ribosomal RNA", at positions 28 to 507 of the family's 1533-position model. The record is from RNAcentral.
GACGAACGCUGGCGGCGUGCUUAACACAUGCCAGUCGAACGAGACAUACAAGAAUCGAGGCGUCGGCAGAAGUUCCUUUCGGAUAAGUGGCAUACGGUUGGGUAAAACGUCACGAACGUACUGCUUACAACGGAAUAUCUUCUGGAAACAGAGAUUAAUACCAUAUAACUGUGCGCCCAUUCGUUUCGAUGGAAUCAAAGCUACAGCGCUAAGAGAUGGGCGCGCGUCCCAUUAACUGGAUGGUGAGUUAAAGGCCCACCAUAGGGACGAUGGGUAGCUGGUCUGAGAGGGUGAACGGUCACACUGGAACUGAGACACGGCCCAGACUCCUACGGGAGGCAGCAGUGGGGAAUAUUGCACAAUGGAGGAAACCCUGAUCCAGCGAUGCCGCGUGAGUGAUGAAGGCCUUAGUGUUGUAAAACUCUGUUACAUGGGAAGAAAAUGACUGUACCAUAGGAAAAAGCUCCGGCUAACUCCGUG